This 490-nucleotide ribosomal RNA is filed under the name uncultured bacterium. Its description in RNAcentral is "bacterial SSU rRNA". It matches the Rfam family "Bacterial small subunit ribosomal RNA", at positions 19 to 518 of the family's 1533-position model. The record is from RNAcentral.
AUGGCUCAGGAUGAACGCUGGCGGCGUGCUUAACACAUGCAAGUCGAACGGAGCCUAUCGAGUGCUUGCACUUGAGAAAGCUUAGUGGCGGACGGGUGAGUAACGCGUGGGUAACCUGCCCUGUACCGGGGGAUAACAGUUGGAAACGGCUGCUAAUACCGCAUAAGCCCACAGCACCGCAUGGUGCAGGGGGAAAAACUCCGGUGGUACAGGAUGGACCCGCGUCUGAUUAGCUAGUUGGUGAGGUAACGGCCCACCAAGGCGACGAUCAGUAGCCGGCCUGAGAGGGUGAACGGCCACAUUGGGACUGAGACACGGCCCAAACUCCUACGGGAGGCAGCAGUGGGGAAUAUUGCACAAUGGGGGAAACCCUGAUGCAAGCGACGCCGCGUGAGUGAUGAAGUAUUUCGGUAUGUAAAACUCUAUCAGCAGGGAAGAAAAUGACGGUACCUGACUAAGAAGCACCGGCUAAAUACGUGCCAGCAGCGGC